Platichthys flesus (European flounder) is the source of this 830-nucleotide long non-coding RNA. RefSeq lists it as uncharacterized. The transcript has 3 exons. The record is from RefSeq and is a predicted model, not a curated record. NCBI's taxonomy places the organism in Eukaryota, Metazoa, Chordata, Actinopteri, Pleuronectiformes, Pleuronectidae.
CCAAACCUAGACAAGCAUGAAGAGACCUUUGCUGUUAAUCCCCAACUCAGAUAAUCUCUGACUUUUGAAAGAAUCAGACAAAUGGCUCACCCAUCUUCCAGUCCGUUCUUGAACUCCCCUGUGUAUAUUCGCCCAUCAGGCCAUUUUAACACUCCCCUGAAACAGAUUGAUAAGCUGAGUUAAAUAGUGUGUGUGUGUGUGUGUGUGUGCGUGUGUGUGUGUGUGUGUGUGUGUGUGUGUGUGUGCACUCGUAUUUCUUACUUUGUGAGGUCCAGUGGCAAGGAGCACACCAACGGUAUGGGGCCCUCAGACGGUGUGGGGCCCAAAAUGGUGGGCCCCACAACGUUUAUUGCUUUAAAUGAGCUCUGGAACCUCCCCUAAUGCCCCUGUUGCUUCUUCUUCACUUGGCCCACAAGGUAACAAAAAGUGGAAACGUGUGUUUGAAAUUAUUUGCUCUCUAUCGCCCCCUACUUCCGGUUUUCCCAUUUUCGCCGAUACACACCAAGUAGAAGUGUGUAAACUUUCAGCCAAUGAUACGGGACGUGGGCGGGGCUUAGCGAAUGCCGCGCUGUGGACCGGGCCUGCAGCUCAAUGGAUGACAGAGGAAGAGGGUCCAGCCGGCAGAAGAUGCAAUAUCGUGGGUUCUGUCUUCAAGGGACAAGCAGUGUUUUAUAGAAAAAUAUAUUGAUAGUUACAAAGUAUUGAUGCUUCCAAAGAAGACGGAUCCCUUGGAAGAUUGGUUAAUGAAAACAACAAAUAUCGAAACUGCACCAUACAACAAGCCAAACUUAUGCCUAUUUUCCAUUAAGCUUAUUGAGGUAGGAACCGAA